RNAcentral lists this ribosomal RNA (1345 nucleotides) under metagenome. RNAcentral's name for it is "bacterial LSU rRNA". It matches the Rfam family "Bacterial large subunit ribosomal RNA", at positions 1564 to 2925 of the family's 2925-position model. The record is from RNAcentral.
UGAGUACGAGACGCUAAGGCGUCGAAGUAGUGGAUGUCAUACUUCCAAGAAAAGCUUGCAUAGUCAUAAAUAGAAAAUGCCUGUACCAUAACCGACACAGGUGGGUAAGUAGAGUAUACUAAGGGGCGCGAGAUAACUCUCUCUAAGGAACUCGGCAAAAUAACUCCGUAACUUCGGGAGAAGGAGUGCCUUAUUCUUAAGGUUGCAAUAACAAGAUCCAAGCAACUGUUUAUCAAAAACACAGGUCUCCGCUAAGUCGUAAGACGAUGUAUGGGGGCUGACGCCUGCCCAGUGCCAGAAGGUUAAAGAAGUCGGUUAGCAAUAGCAAAGCUGGUAACUGAAGCCCUGGUGAACGGCGGCCGUAACAAUAACGGUCCUAAGGUAGCGAAAUUCCUUGUCGGGUAAGUUCCGACCCGCACGAAAGGCGUAAUGAUUUGGAUGCUGUCUCGGAGAGGGGCUCGGUGAAAUAGACUUGUCUGUGAAGAUGCGGACUACCUGCACCAGGACAGAAAGACCCUAUGAAGCUUUACUGUAACUUGAAAUUGAAAUUGGACUUUAUUCGCGCAGUAUAGGUGGGAGGCGUUGAUUAUAAUCUUGUGGGAUUAUUGGAGCCAUCAGUGAGAUACCACUCUUGUAAUGUUAGAUUUCUAACUUUGAAUCAUUAUCUGGUCAAAGGACAGUUUCAGGCGGGCAGUUUGACUGGGGCGGUCGCCUCCUAAACGGUAACGGAGGGUACAAAGGUUUCCUCUGAACGGUUAGAAAUCGUAUCUAGAGUGUAAAGGCAUAAGGAAGCUUGACUGUGAGACCUACAAGUCGAGCAGGGACGAAAGUCGGUCUUAGUGAUCUGACGGUACUGAGUGGAAAGGCCGUCACUCAACGGAUAAAAGUUACUCUAGGAUAACAGGCUGAUCUCCCCCAAGAGUUCACAUCGACGGGGAGGUUUGGCACCUCGAUGUCGGCUCAUCGCAUCCUGGGGCGGUAGUACGUCCCAAGGGUUGGGCUGUUCGCCCAUGAAAGCGGUACGCGAGCUGGGUUCAGAACGUCGUGAGACAGUUCGGUCCAUAUCCGGUGUAGGCGCUAGAAUAUUGAGAGGAGCCUUCUUUAGUACGAGAGGACCGAGAAGGACAUACCUCUGGUGUACCAGUUAUCGUGCCAACGGUAAACGCUGGGUAGCUAUGUAUGGAGUGGAUAACCGCUGAAAGCAUCUAAGUGGGAAGCCCACCUCAAGAUAAGUAUUCUCAUCACGUAAGUGAGUAAGGUCACGGUAAGACUAACCGUUUGAUAGGCAUUAAGUGUAAGUACAGUAAUGUAUGUGCUGAGAUGUCCUAAUAGACCGAGGACUUGA